RNAcentral lists this ribosomal RNA (262 nucleotides) under Semnorhynchus sp. ARC3959. RNAcentral describes it as "partial 18S ribosomal RNA". It matches the Rfam family "Eukaryotic small subunit ribosomal RNA", at positions 136 to 378 of the family's 1831-position model. Lineage: Eukaryota; Metazoa; Arthropoda; Insecta; Coleoptera; Curculionidae. The record is from RNAcentral.
UACUUGGAUAACUGUGGUAAUUCUAGAGCUAAUACAUGCAAACAGAGCUCCGACCGGAGACGGGAGGAGUGCUUUUAUUAGAUCAAAACCAAUCGGUGGCGGGUUCGCUCGUCAUCGUACAACUUGGUGACUCUGAAUAACUUUACGCUGAUCGCACGGUCAUCGCACCGGCGACGCAUCUUUCAAAUGUCUGCCUUAUCAACUGUCGAUGGUAGGUUCUGCGCCUACCAUGGUUGUAACGGGUAACGGGGAAUCAGGGUUC